GACGAACGCUGGCGGCGUGCUUAACACAUGCAAGUCGAACGGAAAGGCCUCUUUCGGGGGGUACUCGAGUGGCGAACGGGUGAGUAACAAGUGAGUAAACUGCCCUUGACUUUGGGAUAACUUAAGGAAACUGGGGCGAAUACCGGAUAGGAGCUACUGCUGCAUGGAGGGGGUUGGAAUGUUUCGGCGGCUGGGGGUGGACUCGCGGCGUAUCCGCUCGUUGGUGGAGUAGUGGCUUACCAAGGCGUUGACGGGUAGACGGACUGAGAGGGUGACCGGCGGCACUGGGACUGAGAGACGGCCCAGACACCGACGGGAGGCAGCAGGGGGAAAGAUUGCACAAGGGGUGGAAGCCGGAUGCAGCAACGCCGUGGGCGGUAAGACGGUCUUCUGGUUGAAGACCGCAUUCGCUCAUGACGAAGCUUUGUGUGACGGUAGUGGGUAAAGAAGCACCGGCUAACUACGUG
RNAcentral lists this ribosomal RNA (467 nucleotides) under uncultured bacterium. RNAcentral describes it as "partial 16S ribosomal RNA". It matches the Rfam family "Bacterial small subunit ribosomal RNA", at positions 28 to 507 of the family's 1533-position model. The record is from RNAcentral.